CUACGGAGGAUCCGAGCGUUAUCCGGAUUUAUUGGGUUUAAAGGGUGCGCAGGCGGCCAUUUAAGUCAGCGGUUAAAUCGUGGGGCUCAACCCCAUUCUGCCGUUGAUACUGGGUGGCUUGAUUGCGGUCGAGGUUGGCGGAAUUCGUUGUGUAGCGGUGAAAUGCAUAGAUAUGACGAAGAACACCGAUUGCGUAGGCAGCUGACCAGACCGCAAAUGACGCUCAUGCACGAAAGUGCGGGGAUCGAACAGGAUUAGAUACCCUGGUAGUCCGCACAGUAAACGAUGAAUACUUGUUUUCGGCGAUAUAAUGUCGGAGGCAAAGCGAAAGCGAUAAGUAUUCCACCUGGGGAGUACGCCGGCAACGGUGAAACUCAAAGGAAUUGACGGGG
RNAcentral lists this ribosomal RNA (392 nucleotides) under uncultured bacterium. Its description in RNAcentral is "partial 16S ribosomal RNA". It matches the Rfam family "Bacterial small subunit ribosomal RNA", at positions 523 to 918 of the family's 1533-position model. The record is from RNAcentral.